AUUGUUGUUUGAUCGGACCAAAAUUUGUUCCUCCCCGAAUUACGGAAAACUGAGUGAAGUGUCAAAUGUCUGAAGCCCUAAAUUAGCCGCUUCUUCUCCUCUUUCUCUCUCCUCAUAUUCUCUCUCCUCGUCAGACAAAGUGACGCCGUUUUGUCGGACUUCAUGGCUUCGCAAGUUGCAGAAUUCUGAAGAGAAAACGUUGAGUGCGUAUAUAUGAUUUCGAUGUCUACUGCUCCAAGGAGGAAAAAAUGGAGUGAGGCAGAGGAAAGGACACUAAUAGAUAGAUAUGGAGAGCUCGUGUCGAACGGAACAUUAGCGAAGAUGAAAACUAGGGAGAAGAAGUUUAGACCGAUUGCUUUUUAUGUGAAUACAAUGCAUCAUGAUAGGGAUCCAAUUGCGUUUCCUUGGCAAUGGAGUUGGAAAGAUGUGUCUACGAAAGUUCAGAACAUGAGGCAUCAGUAUUUGCUGGUUAAGCAAAAGAUUAAGAAGCCGGAACCACCAUUAGGGAGCAAUUUGGUGGGUGGUGGGGAGGAGUUUGAGUGGGCUGAUAGCCUCUCGCAUUGGUCAAAUUUUCUUAGGUAUAAAGAGGUGUUUGGGGAUGUGCCUCUUGUUUUAAGUAAUAGCCUUGAUGAUUCCAUGUUGGGUACGGUUAAUAAUGAUGACAAUGGUGGGGGUUUUAGUGGGAGUAGCCGAGGGGUGGAUAUGGUUGAUUUUGGCCAUUUGGGUCAUUCUGGAGAAGGGGAUUUUGCCACGGGGAUUGAUGGUGGGGAAGAUGGGGUCUUGAGUUUAGGUUUUGAGUAUGAUGGAGAGGAAGGAGAAGAGAAUUUUAAUAAUAGUAGCAACCAUUUGAAGGAUGAUGGUGAUGAAGAGUUUGCAUAUGAGGAGGUUGAGGCUAAUGGGUCAGAGUUGAGAAAGAAGAAGAAGGUAAUAAAGGGGUUUGAGACAAAGGCUUGGAGUUUUUUAGCAAAUCAAUUGGGACAAUUAAAGGAAAUGGAAAUGCGAUUUGACCAAAAGGAGCUGGAGCGGGACCGAGAGAGGCAAAGGAGGGAGAAUUUCCGCUCAGAGCGUGACAAAGAAAGGGAAAAGAUGUGGCAAGAGCGGGAUAAGGAAAGAGCAAAAAGGGAGAAGAUUAUUGAGGAGCUGAGGAAGCGAACAAUAGUAGAAUGGGAAGCGAUGGAGAAGGAAUGUGAGGAAAGGGAAAGAAGAAGAAGAGAGGAACUUAUGAUUCAGGAGAGGGAAUGGGAAGAGAGGAUGAGCUUGAGGAGGUCUGAGUGGAACAAGAGGAUGGACGACAUGUUGAAUCAGCAUCGAGCAGAAAUGGGACAGAUUCAGUCCCGGAUACUGCAUGAACAACAAAAUAUCACAAGUCAGUUGCUUACAAUUGUAUCACAGUGGUCGGGCCAUCCAAGUGGGCUAUCCGAUCAUACCGUAGCGAGCAGCCACUAUCUCUCACCAGUGAUGCAGAAUCUGCACCAUGUGAAUGACAUGGUUCAUGACGAUACUAGGGUCGAAGGAGACAAUCAGGAAGAUCAAUUCAUAGUCGAUUGAUGAUCCUGACUUUUCUGUACUUCUCUGCGGUUGUAGUUCAAGGCAAAUGUAACAUAGAAUAUUUGCCAUGACAAAGUGUAGAGAUACUCAACUACCAUGCAAUGGAAUUCCACUUGAGCUCAGAAUGUAUUUGUGCUUUGAUUCUUUGUAUUACAAGUUAUGAAUUUCUGAGAGUAUUUCAUGCAUCUCCUUCACUGUUCUUACACGGCGGAUCUCUCUACUUGGCUUUAAAGUGUAGCAGAAGUUGCAUCUCAAAUUGUCGCUAUUCAUUCGUUUUUCGAUCAGGUGAGUAGUCAAUAUUGGAGGAAUUUUCACUUUGAACUGAAUUAGAUAGGAUCAAACAUCUUGUUGCACUGUCCUCUACUUAUUUUGUGAAGUAAGUCAAAAUCUCUGAUCAAGGGUCUAAGUGGAAUAUCUCAGCAAUUGCUUAGGUGUAGUUGAAUUUUCUUAACCCCUUUACAUAAGGAAUUACUAACUAGGUUUAUCUGUAUUUUAAGUAGCCAGUGUUUUGAGUUGAAGUUUGCUUGAGCUUGACUUGAUAAGGCACCUAACAACUAACAAGUUUGAGUGAAUGAGUCGCAUGUGAGCUGGACCUAAGCUGAUGUUGGAUCAGAAAUAUCUAAUUUAGUUGUUCAGCUAGUUCAUCUGGUUAAGACCCCUAACAAUACUCUUGUCAUGGGUCACGGAGCUUCUGAUUCCUGAGAGGCUAGCAAACUACAGUAGGAUAUGGUAAAUAAAGGAAGCCGCCCGCCACAUUACCUGCUUAUAUUGUUAUUAGCUGCAAAAGUCACAUCUUUACAUGUGGAAGGAGUUUUAAUCAACAUCUUUGAAGGAAUAUACCAAAGGCUUGCUAAAUGCGCUAAACAUCUGUAACAUAGUUCUUGAAUUAUUUCCUCAACAUUCAUAAACAAAGGUCUGAUUUGUAAAACCUCUCGUAAAAUAUGCAUGCUGAAGCCUGAAGUGGAAUCCAGAUGUAUUAUAUCUGUUAGGUUUGUCUUAAAAUCUAAGAUUAGAAUCUCUCUUUUCCUUUUUUUCCCUUGAUAAGAGUGACCAUUACCUCUGAGCCAUACUCUUUUGUGAUUUAGCUUUCAAAAGAAGCUAGGGAUUAAGGCUUUCUUUUUACCUGAAGUAAAUUGAUCUGGUUUGAAUUUUUAGAUGUCUAGUAUGGUUUGAUCUGAAUCUUUUUGGGUUUAAUUUGACCUUACUUUUUACGUUAGUGUAUAAGAAAAAUAUUAUCACUCAUGAUCUUGUUAGCUUUGUCUCAAUGUGCCUUUUUAUAUUAUCAAAAAAAAAUUUAUUUUUAUUAUUAUGCAAUUAAAGUUUUUUGGUGGUUCUGUAUGAGAGACUGAUGUGAUUUAAACAAGAAUAAGUAUAUGUUCUUGAAAUUAGGUCAAAAGAAGAUAACCUUAGUGAGCAUCAGUUGUACUAUGUAAUUUUUGGUUACAUUAGAGAUCUUAAUUGGAUUUAGUUAUUUGCAUGCAAUGUUAGACAUCGAGCUUGUGUUCAAAGUGAUAUAAACACUUCUCUCUUGAACCACUUAUAUUUCAAUUUUUAUUUCCAAGGUGUCGUUGCUUAUUUACAUUCAUAUGUAAAAUCAUAUCUGCAAACAGUUUGAAAGACCUAAUCUUGAGUGUAGUUUUCUUCUGGAUUUUGUAUUGACAUAUGUCCUGAUUGGGGUAAAAUUCUUAGAUAUCAUUCAUGGUUUUGGGAAACAGAUAACUUAGUGGUUGUCUUUGAAGGGACAGGAGGAAACCCAUUUGAGAUCUGAUUGACAUCACAUUAUAGACAAAUUAUCUGUGCUGGUAUAUCAGAAUCUCACUAUCGACCACUUUCAAGAUGGGCGAAUCAUGGUUCUCGGAGACGGACAGAUCUGAUUAACGACACACACCUAAAAUGCAUCUGUAUUGUGAAGACGGAUAUGUAAUCAAUAUAUUGUUUGCCAGCUACGGGACCCCAAUGGCUAGAUGUCAAGAGUAUUCAAGACGCAGCUGUCAGCCUGUCACACACCAAAGUCAUCUGACGUGGUUCAUGGAGUAAGUGGGUAAACAAUAUACACUGGGCCCAUUUGGUGGAUGAUAAUAAAUGCUUUGCCAAGGAAGACAGACUUGCUCCAUUAGAGUUUCUAAUGCCGAAUGGUGAUCCAUGCAGGGGGGUUGUUAAAACCUUGGCUGCUCCAUUAGAGUUUUUAAAUGCUGAAUUUGAUGGCGAUCCACGCAGAGAGGUUGUUAAAACCCUAGCUGCUCCAUUAGAAUUUUUAAAAGCUGAAUUUGGUGGUGAUCCACGCAGAGGGGUUGUUGAAACCUUGGGAGGCGAAAUGUGUGUCAUCACAGGUCAGGGUUCUCAUCAAUCUAGGUCAGGUGGUGGAGGCGGUGGCAGUGAGCUAGUGAUGAUGGUCGAGAAUUUAUUGUGGUGUUGAUGAUAACCUAAUUUGUACUUCAUAUGCAUAGCAAAUAUUUUAUUUUAAAGAUGUACAUAAUUCAUUUUCUUUUGAGGGGUGUAUACAUAAACAAAUCAAGAUCAGAAAGAUAGAAUACUCCUCUUGUAAGACGGGAGACCAAGGCUAAACUAUCCAUCUCAAACAUCACCUGGGAUAAAUUGUGAGCUCAGGCUAACUUCACCGCCAGGUACAAUGCCUUCCCCUCCGCGAUUUCCGGUGAACACCAGAAAUUUAGUUACGUUUAGUAUAAUACAUUUUGAUUAAACUCCAAGGUCCAAGCUGAUUAAAACUUAAAAAGUGUCAUGACUCAUGAUGGUCAAAUUUAGAAUUAAUAUAUGGAAUAAUAGUCACAUUAAGGCAGCAUGAAAAAUUCCCCUCCCCAUCUCUUUCGACCUUCCUUAUGCACUUAUACUUGCUUGAUGAGUGAACAGAACACGUAGCUUUGGAGGAUAAUGGUCGGUUGCUUACCGAAAAGUGGGGUCCACAUAAAGACUUAGCCGUUGGAGUUGAAUUUGCCAUAACGAAAUUUUAAAUUCUUGCCAAGAUUGGAUGGGAUUGGGGUGGCUAUUAUUUGGCCCGCCAGGCGCCACAAAACGAGGUCCCAUGUGUAAUUAUUCUUAUUUUACCAUCAUUAUUAUGAUUAGUUAUUCUUUUUCUUGGUGAGAAGAAGUUUGCAGAUUUAUAUUUUUUUAUGAAAUAAAACUGAAUAUUAGUUGUCCUCUUUCUUGUUUAAAGUAAUACUAUAAUUGUAGUCCUACGAGUUAUGAAAAUUAUUUCAUAAGAACAUUUUGUAUUAUUACAUUAAUUUAUAAACCAACCAGUCUUUUA
Molecule: RNA transcript, 4813 nt
Organism: Beta vulgaris subsp. vulgaris (sugar beet)
Lineage: Eukaryota; Viridiplantae; Streptophyta; Magnoliopsida; Caryophyllales; Amaranthaceae
Exons: 5
Source: RefSeq, a predicted model, not a curated record